Molecule: long non-coding RNA, 2920 nt
Filed under: Nicotiana benthamiana
Lineage: Eukaryota; Viridiplantae; Streptophyta; Magnoliopsida; Solanales; Solanaceae
Description: long non-coding RNA (NBEN_LNC020121)
Source: RNAcentral
AAACCUAAAAACCCUAAAGAAAACAGAGACCCAGCACUACCCCGUCAUCCUUCUUAUCGUGAACCACCCCAACAGUCCGUCAACCAGCAGUCCCUGAACGAACCACCGCCACUGCCAUAACCACCCAGCGACCCCUUCACGGCGGCCCGUCGAGCAUCGGCGAACUGCUUCCUGCCUCACGUCCCCCAUGAGAGCUUAGAAUAUCUUUCAUGGAAUGACUGGGUGCUUGAGGUGUAAAUGUAUUCAUACUGUGGAAUUUGGGAUCAAGUAUAGUGAUUCGUGUGCUAUAUGGGAUUGGAUACUGGGAGUUCUCAGGUACCAACUACGUAGUGGUUGUGGAUCGUAUGUAUUGGUACCGUUAGCGACUAUUGGGAUUUGGAGUCCCGAGUGGAUCUUUCCUUGCUUGGUACAAUAAAUUUUGGAUAUGACAUUAGGGUAUGGGUUGGUUGUCUCAGCGUGGGUUAUUCUAGACUAUUGUGUUAUGGGCUCAGCAGAGUGAUUUGCAUUCCAAAGACAAGCGGGCGACUAUGAAGGAUUGUUUUUCUUAAUUAGGCCUUUGUGGCGGAUGUCGGUGUAGAGGUUUCUACCACUGAUCCAGUUCCGGUAUUAAGGGACUUUUUUGGAUGUGUUCCUUGUGUCGGGCAUGUCGCUGAGCGAGAUUGUGGAUUUCGGCAUUGAUUUGGUAUCGGGCACCGUAUCGUACGGCUUCGGCAUGAGUUAUAGUAGUGGGAGGAGCAACUUCAUGUUUCUUGAUUUUGUGUUCGUGGGCAGGCCAAUGUGGCUAUGUACUUGGCUUGAGUUAGCUUGGUUGGCCUCGAAUUGUGUUGAUGAGGGAUAGGUUGAUUCGAUUGUCGUUGAGCUUGCUAGUGAUCUAAGGAGAGCUAUGAGUUAUUUUUCGGUGUUUUGAGAUGUCAUGAAUGGUUGGAUAUGGGCACAUGUGGUGUUGUUCUUCUGAGGAUUCAUACAGAAAGUCGAGCGGGAAGAGCAAUCGAGUGUUGCUCAGUAAUCGGAGUAUUGGCUAUGGCCAAUUGGGCUGUGAGCCUUAUGUUAAUUGUUUCACCAUGAGUGUAAUUUGGUUUCAGACAUCAAUUUGUGCGUGGUUUUCUAUCUUGAGCAUAGUGACUUGAGGUGAUUCAAGUGUAACAAUGUUUGUAUAGGAUCACGCAUUGUGGCGAGGCCACGUGAAGUUAUGACCAUUCGAGGAGGAUUCAGGUACUCUAUUCCUAUGAUGUGAGACGGGUUCUCUCCUUUGUGUUGAAAUGGUAUUGAAGAGCAUGAGGUACAACUCUUCCAUUUGAGCCAUUUAUCCUGAUUUGAGUAUGUUCAGGCCGUUCCUUAAUGGUGAGUACAUUUUGCAAGUUGUGGCUUAGGCAUGUAUUGUGAGGUCAUAUCACCAGAGUGGUGUGUUGGAUUCUAGGUGGUCACUGGAGUCAUUAAUGAAUACGAACAAAUUUGAUUUCAGCUUGUCAGAAGGAUAAUAUCGAGGUUUGGCCCUAAAAUCUGUUGUGAUAUAGUCAGCGGGAAGUGGUUUCAUGAAUGGUUGAUCUCAGGCUACCGUUCGAGUGUUUGGAUUAUGUGGUAUAUCAUAUGAUUUCAUCCGAGUUGCAAGUAUGGGUUAUUACAGCUAGUUCGGGUUUAUUCUGAGUGUAGAUGUGAGGUUCUGAUCUUGUGUAUGAUUUCGGAAAGUACAAUAUGGUUCUACGGUUUAUGGUCUAGAUGAAUUGUGAGAUUUCAGCUAUGUUGUGUUGUCGGACCGAUACGAGAUAGGGUAGCAUGGGAUUACCCUGGGUAUAUGCUUCGUAAGGUUAUUCAGCUAUUGGUUGGCUUCUAGGACAACUCUGGGUACGCUCGAGGAUGAGCAUUGGUUUAAGUUGGGGAGGAUGUGACGACCUUACCCGUCGUCUCAUGUGUUACUGCUCCAUUUUCCCCAUUUUAUGCUCUUUCAUAUUUCAUUAUCAGUGUUUGGUGUGUUAGAGUUAAUUUGGAUUGGUUUUGGUAGAAAAUGAGACAUUUAGUCUCUUUAAGGAAGGCUUAUUUUGGAAAAUUUAACCGGACAUUUACUUAUGAGUUAGAAGCUUCGAAUAAGAUUUUCGGUGAUUCGGUUAGCUUCAUGGGAUGAUUUUUGACUUAGGAUCAUGAUCGGAAUUUUUGUUGGAGGUCCGGUAUAGAAUUAGGCUUGAAUUGGCGAAGUUAGUAUUUUGGCGAAUUCCGUUUGAUAGGUGAAAUUUUGGCCUGAGGAUCGAAAUAGCUUCGAGUGUGUCGGAAGACGCUGAAGCAGAAGGUUGGAUUGGAGCAGGUUCCGCAAAAGCGCAAGUCAUGACCGCUGAAGCGAUCGCGCUAAUGCAAUAAUUAGGCCGCAGAAGCGGUCAAGGCCUUAAGUGAAGGACCGCAGAAGCGGACGUGGACCGCAGAUGCGGUAGUUGCAGAAGCGACAAUUUUUCCGCAAAAGCGGUAUCGCUUGGGCAGUUAAAUGAAAUGGUCCUCUUCGUGAAUUUUUGAAAGAGCAACAUUUUAGACUUCACACUAAGAAGGUUUCUGGGCGAUUUUUGAAGAGGGUUUCGAGGGCUUUCUUCAGGUAUGGAUUCUUGGACUUAGAAUAUAUUAUUAUGGUAUAAAAUCAUGGAUUAACACUAAAAACCCAAGGAAUUAAAGGUUAAAAAUUGAAGUUAGGGCUUGAAACUUAAGAGAGUUUAAACCAGGAGUUUGAGGGGUCAAAUGGACUCCGAUUUUUAUGAAUUUGAUAUGUAUAGACUCGUGGCGAAACAAGGAGUCUGGUGAUGUAAGUUUUGUAAUUUUUCGAGAAGCGGUUUGCUAGUUUCAAUAUUUUUGCUAUUUCUCAAUUAUUUUAGAUUGGGUAUUGUUACCUUAGCAUAUUGUGAUGUAUUCGCUCUGAUUUUGGUUAGAUUCGACGCGCGUGGAG